Plodia interpunctella (Indianmeal moth) is the source of this 928-nucleotide long non-coding RNA. RefSeq lists it as uncharacterized. NCBI's taxonomy places the organism in Eukaryota, Metazoa, Arthropoda, Insecta, Lepidoptera, Pyralidae. The transcript is spliced from 4 exons. The record is from RefSeq and is a predicted model, not a curated record.
AGAUAUGGAAUGGUCACAUUCUAGGACGGGAACCACACGCCAGGACGUCGACAAGAACCAAGAAUAACAGCAGGCGGAGAUCGUGGGCCGGGUCGUGAGGUUCCGUCUAUUAUGGUUGAGCUACGCGAUGGCUGACCCAUGAGUCAACUCGUGAACAAUGCUGCCAGAGGGAACUGGUCAUCUCGUUUCUCAUAUAUUUUUAUGGCGCGGACCUCACGACUUUUCCCGGUAGAUUUGGAAAGUCAGGUUCAGACUACUGUCAGACGGUCCUGGCAGAAGAAGCGAAGAAAAUGUGCUGAUGAUUUCCCCUGCUCUUGGACACCGGUCAGUUGUCGCUGUAGAAUUUUUAAUCGAUUAUAAUUCUUAGUAAUAAUUACAGUGUCUUUCUCAACCUUGACCUUGGCAAAAUCAUCGUUUGGCCAAACGAUGGAGCCAUAAAAUUAAAAAGUGAAGUGAAGUGAUCAAAUUUAUAAUACCAUUGUUACAAAUCAUGCUUUUAUUAUAUAUUUUUUAUAGUUAUACCAAUUAUAAAUGGAGGAUUUGGAUUGAUUGAUUACUUCCACUAAUAUUAGAAGCUCCUGAUAUGUAUGAUUCUCACGAGUCAAAAGUUAAAAAUAAAUUGCAAUUCUUUUUAAAAAAAGUUAUUUUAAGAAACUGCGGUUAUUAACUUUAAAAUUCCAAAUACCUUAUUCCAAUUACAUCGCGUUAUAAUAAACCCGAAUUGCGAACCUUUUGCAUGUCUCAGAUUUAUUAUGGCUACUUUCACCGAGUUAAGGACCUUGCACACUUGAUUUUUCACGCAUCGCAAAAAUUCAUCCAUUUUUUUUUUGUUGACCGUCUCACACUUAUGUGUGAAAAAUACAUGCUUAAAAGUAGUAAAAUGAUGUUAUCAUUAUUUUAUUACUUUUAAGCAUGUAUUUUUCGUAAA